GCAAAUGAACAAAUAAUUAUUUAGAGUAUGUUUACCAAGUACUGUUACAAUUGAUCCCUCCUUUCUUGCAGCUGGAGGAAUUCUAUAAGAAAAAUGCAGCCGAGAAAGCCAAGAAGGCAGCAUCUACCUCCCAAACCAAUGUUUCUGAUGUUAGCUUAAAUGAAAAACAGCAAUUAGAAUAUCUUUUUGUUAACUUAAAUGAAAAACUCUGCUCAAUCUACCUCUCAAAGCUGAUUGUUGCUAAUGAGAAUAUCUUGGAGAAGAAGCAUGAUUUUUACUCUACCAAAUAGAAUGAGGAUUUUGUUGCUUUGGAGCAAGUAGUCACAUUUUCUAUUCUUGGGGUGCCACUAUGUCCACAUUUCUAAUAAUUAUUGUGUUUUAUGGUUCAUCCUUUGGGCAAUUUAUACUGCUUGUAAUAACAAUUUCCUUACUAACACAAAUAAACAUUUUUUGAAGUGUACUUUUUGAUGUCUUAGAAAUAUGCCAUUAUAAGUAUCCAUCGUUAUAUUUAACUCAUCUGGUGCAAUUUGACAUUCCAUAAUAUAUGCAAUUUAUUAC
Molecule: long non-coding RNA, 558 nt
Filed under: Gossypium barbadense (sea-island cotton)
Lineage: Eukaryota; Viridiplantae; Streptophyta; Magnoliopsida; Malvales; Malvaceae
Description: long non-coding RNA (GBAR_LNC001347)
Source: RNAcentral